GCCGCUGUGGCGGAAUUGGCAGACGCACUUGACUCAAAAUCAAGCGCCUUUGCGGGCGUGCCGGUUCGACUCCGGCCAGCGGCA
RNAcentral lists this transfer RNA (84 nucleotides) under Succiniclasticum ruminis DSM 9236. It matches the Rfam family "tRNA". Rfam says of the family: Transfer RNA (tRNA) molecules are approximately 80 nucleotides in length. The record is from Rfam by way of RNAcentral. Lineage: Bacteria; Bacillati; Bacillota; Negativicutes; Acidaminococcales; Acidaminococcaceae.